GCGCAACUUCCCUCGGAAAACAGCUCUCUGCUACCUGUGACUUGCUUAUGCGAAAGGAGAAUCGUUGCUGAUACUGAGACCAUAAGAACUCCCAAAAUCACAGAGGAGAGCGCUGGCCAAUUAGGAGAGAAAGGACAAGCAGACGAGAGGAGAGUGAUGGUCGAUGGAAAGGAUAUUGAAAGCUACAUAAAUAAACAAAAAAAAUUGAAGAGGCUUUAAAUCAAAGAAAACUAGAAAUGGGGAAGAAAUGGAAAGGGACAACAAGGGCCUGCUGGAGAAAAAAAAUGGAAAAGAGGAAGCAGAGAAGACCUCCACAAUCGG
This 321-nucleotide unclassified non-coding RNA is filed under the name Hevea brasiliensis (rubber tree). The record is from RNAcentral. Lineage: Eukaryota; Viridiplantae; Streptophyta; Magnoliopsida; Malpighiales; Euphorbiaceae.